GCCCGGAUGGCGGAAUUGGUAGACGCGCACGACUCAAACUCGUGUCCGAAAGGGUGUGGGUUCGAUUCCCACUCCGGGUA
RNAcentral lists this transfer RNA (80 nucleotides) under Flavobacterium sp. Its description in RNAcentral is "tRNA-Leu". It matches the Rfam family "tRNA". From Rfam's summary of the family: Transfer RNA (tRNA) molecules are approximately 80 nucleotides in length. Their secondary structure includes four short double-helical elements and three loops (D, anti-codon, and T loops). The record is from RNAcentral. RNAcentral also lists the same sequence under 1 other name. Lineage: Bacteria; Pseudomonadati; Bacteroidota; Flavobacteriia; Flavobacteriales; Flavobacteriaceae.